RNAcentral lists this unclassified non-coding RNA (261 nucleotides) under Glomus sp. RNAcentral describes it as "partial contains 5.8S ribosomal RNA and internal transcribed spacer 2". The stretch from base 1 to 65 matches the Rfam family "5.8S ribosomal RNA", at positions 84 to 154 of the family's 154-position model. The record is from RNAcentral. Lineage: Eukaryota; Fungi; Glomeromycota; Glomeromycetes; Glomerales; Glomeraceae.
GUGAAUCAUCAAAUUUUUGAACGCAAAUUGCACUCUCUUCGGAGAGUAUGCCUGUUUGAGGGUCAGCCUAAAAAAAAAUCGACAUAGUCGCUGUUUCUCGGUUACAUUCGUCGGCAAUUGGGUCAUCUUAAACCUUUUUGGUUUAAGCGGCUUAAAAUUUUCUUUACGAUUCCUCGAACGUUUCUAAGAUUUUCUUCUUAUACUUUUAAUGUAUCGAUCUUUAUUUGACUUUGCUCUUGCAUCGGAUCUCUACCAUAAAUA